This 252-nucleotide ribosomal RNA is filed under the name uncultured prokaryote. RNAcentral describes it as "partial 16S ribosomal RNA". It matches the Rfam family "Bacterial small subunit ribosomal RNA", at positions 524 to 775 of the family's 1533-position model. The record is from RNAcentral.
UACGGAGGGGGCUAGCGUUGUUCGGAAUUACUGGGCGUAAAGCGCACGUAGGCGGAUGCUUAAGUCAGGGGUGAAAUCCCGGGGCUCAACCCCGGAACGGCCUUUGAUACUGGGUGUCUGGAGGUCGGGAGAGGCGAGUGGAAUUCCGAGUGUAGAGGUGAAAUUCGUAGAUAUUCGGAGGAACACCAGUGGCGAAGGCGGCUCGCUGGCCCGAUACUGACGCUGAGGUGCGAAAGCGUGGGGAGCAAACAG